AUCCAACUGAAGAGUCUCAAAUAAGAUGAAACUCGCGUCCUAGAU
Schistosoma haematobium is the source of this 45-nucleotide non-coding RNA. The record is from Rfam. NCBI's taxonomy places the organism in Eukaryota, Metazoa, Platyhelminthes, Trematoda, Strigeidida, Schistosomatidae.